RNAcentral lists this unclassified non-coding RNA (233 nucleotides) under plant metagenome. RNAcentral's name for it is "partial contains small subunit ribosomal RNA, internal transcribed spacer 1, and 5.8S ribosomal RNA". The record is from RNAcentral.
UUUCCGUAGGUGAACCUGCGGAAGGAUCAUUACUGAGUGAGGGCCCUCUGGGUCCAACCUCCCACCCGUGUUUAUUAUACCUUGUUGCUUCGGUGAGCCCGCCUCACGGCCGCCGGGGGGCAUCUGCCCCCGGGCCCGCGCCCACCGAAGACACCUAGAACUCUGUAUGAAGAUUGCAGUCUGAGCAAAAACCAAAUAAGUUAAAACUUUCAACAACGGAUCUCUUGGUUCCG